RNAcentral lists this non-coding RNA (30 nucleotides) under Rattus norvegicus (Norway rat). The record is from RNAcentral. Lineage: Eukaryota; Metazoa; Chordata; Mammalia; Rodentia; Muridae.
UGACAACUAGACAGGAAGAAUGCUUACAAU